This 9194-nucleotide long non-coding RNA is filed under the name Marmota monax (woodchuck). Lineage: Eukaryota; Metazoa; Chordata; Mammalia; Rodentia; Sciuridae. The record is from RNAcentral.
AAACCUUUUUUCAAGUUCUCUGAUAGAAUUGGUGGAAAUUCUUCUGAGCUCCAUGAUCUCGGAAGUUCAUCUUGGAAGUUCAUCUGAGCUCCAUGAUCAUUCUUCUCUUCCUUGAUGAAACAGGGAUGAAAAAAUAAAACUCUUGAAAGCUAUCUAGGAUUAUAGGGUAUGUACUUUUAAAAUUGUGCUGAACCUCAUGUCUCUGGAAUAGUAUGUGCUAUUUAUCUGGAAGGUAGAAUUUCUGAUUUCUUUUUGGAGUUCCCUCAAGUCACCAGAUUUUCUGGUACCUGGUCUUUAUUUUAAAUAAUUUAUAGAUAGAGAUGAAGCCUUUUUAUAAUGCAAGAGAGAGAAGCUGUAGUGAGAUUCUUAAUCCAAGUAACAGGAAACUAAAUCUCACUUUAUACUUUGAGUCACUUUGCUUAUUUUGAGCCUGACUUUGUCACAGUGAUCUCAAAUGUGACAAAUGUGCAUAUAUACACACACACUGUAGUGAGUUGGAUGGUGGACACUUAUAAGACAUGUUUUCCUGGCUCAUGACUAUGAACUUAUUUGGUAAAAUUGUCUUUGCAGAUGUAAUUAAGGAUUUUGAGUCAAAAUCAUCCUGGAUUAUCCCUAUAGGCUAUAUAUUCCCUAACACGUGUCUUAGGAGAGGCAGAAGAAGAGAAAACAGAAGGCUCUGUGAAAACAGAGGCAAACAUUGUAAUGAAUUAGCCAUAAGCCAAAGAACACUGUUUCUCUAUAUGAGAAGAGGUCUACCACAUUCAUGAUUAUUACCCUGAUAGUUUUGAAGGUCAAAGAGGAUCAUCCUGUGAUAGAAAAAAAUCUUAUAUGUGUGUAUUAUAUGUAUGCACAUAACACAUACACAUGUAUAAAUGUAUACACAUGUGUGUAUAUACACAUGUGUAUAUACACACAUGUGUGCAGGAUUAUACACAUAUGCAUGAGUAUAUGGCAUGUAUAUAUACAUAUAAAUAUUUAAAUGGUUAUUAAUAAAGAGGGCCACAAAGAAUUAAUGUACUUCACUAUUUUACCAUUGAAUUGUUAAGUUUUGGGAUAUGAUAAAUUAAUCUCCAGUGGUGAUAAAGUAUAUCACUUCUUUCAAUAAAGGCCACAGGCCACAUUGGCAUAAGAGGACCAAACCAGAAUAAUUAGUGUCGCUACUGUUGCUCAUAAAACACUCAUUUCUCUUGAAAAUCUAAUAUUCAGAGAGCUGAUAUGAAAACAGAAGUCUGUUCUUUCAUUUGUUCCCUCCAAAGUGCUUAUUACCUAUUUAGAACUUUGUGAUCUUCCCACACAGUCCGGUGAAUCACCCAGCAGAGAACCCCUCUGUUUACUUACGCACCCUGUAGCCUAAUGUGCUAUGUAAGUCAUGGAUAAUUAGUGACUCCGUCUUCCUAAAGAUACACUUGUGGUGAGCUUGGGAUCUUCCACUUAUAGAAAAAUGUUCACAUGCAGGACAAAAGUUUCCUCUGAGAAUAUUUAAAUUCUUCAUUGAACAGAGACAUAUUUAUUUGCCUUUACCUUUAAAGCAUACAUUUGAAAGGCUGCAGACAGAUUAAACAUUGCUAGAGGCUGUUUCUUGGCUGGAAAAGUGGACUGACUGGGGUGACCUCUCAGCUUGCUGAGGUCUUAUUAGAACCACUUCCCAGAGUCCACAGGAAUCAUAAGUUCUGAAUGUAAAGCAAGAAUUUGUGUGGAGACCCUCUUGUGGUCCCAUGGAGCAAGAAAAGGAAGAAUCUUUUUGAAAUUCAAGUUCAUGGACCACCAUAAGUGUUUCAAAGAUCGCAUGCAAAAAGUACUAAGUUUUAAUUGUCGGAAAGGUAAAUCAGCAUAGUGAUGUAGAAAAAUGAUGGUGGACCACCAGAAUUUUUUUUUCACAAGGUUAUUUCUCUUUUGAGAGAAAAAUCUUUUUUGGAAGUUAGAAAAAAAAAUUUUCUUCUAAUAGCACAUUCUCAUUUUUUUUUUUGGAAUUAUUAACAAAGUACUUGUGGUGGCGCACCGUAGUCACACAUAUGUCUGUGGCCCAGUUUGGAGCCAUCUCUCACAUAUGGGAAGUUUAAGAAAUAACUUUGUUGCCUGGUGUAAUUUGUAAGAAGUCCAAUUCUGGCUCUGGAAUGCACUAACAGGCCUUUGAAGGAAGGACACCUGCCCCUGGCUGGCAGCCUGGGGCAACAUGGCAUGGUCUCUUCAGUGCCAGCCUGACCACUGCUGUGUGGAUGCUGAUCACAUGAGCUGGGUUUUUCCACAGUUAAGUGGAAUGAGAACUUGUUCCUUACCACCCCAACUUUUGCUUGUACAAGUGCUGGGUUUUACCCACAUGAGCAACUCCAAACCCAAAAUGUAAGUCUCAUUUGUGGUUACUAGAAUGGAACCUGAUGGAAAAUUUGACCAUAAAUUCUAAAAAGUCAUGUGGAAAAAACAUAUAUCCUCUGGUACAGAAAUCAGAAAAUAAUUCAAAAAAUACAUCGUGUAACCAACACUUGCUUCCCUAACUUCCACAACAGCCUGACAUGGUGCAUAAAAGGGGGUGCAGGUGACAACCACCCCCACACCCACUACUGCCACCUUUCAUCUUGAAUCCCUUCAGCCCAUGGCUGUACUCAGGCCUACACCUCUCCUUCUAGGGUCCUGAGGGAGACUCCCAUUCUCUUUGACCACCUUGAAUGCUCUUCUGAGGUAGUGUGAGGCCAGUCUCUGCCUCAUCAACUCACCUCAGUGGCCCUUGCUCGCCUCAGUUUCAGAGGCCACAUUUGCUAGGGCUGGGCCAGGGCCCUUCUCACCACAGUCCUGCAUUCUCAUAAAUCUUCUGAAAGAGAAUGGCCCAGCUCCUUCACAGUGGAAGUGCCACUAGUCACCUCAAAGUCAUUCUUCCCCACCCCAAGUUCUAUAAUAAUAACAGUAGCAAUAAACAAAGAUGAUAGAUCUUUGAAGUGAACAAUUAUUGUUUCUCAAUCUUAUAAAAAAUACUUGAAAUAAUCUUUCAAAAACUUAGUUAAUUUUAUCAAAAAUAAAUAAGUCUAAAGCAAAAGUGUAUUGUUGAGAGCCACAGCCGAAGGGGCCCCAGCAAACUUCCAGCUGCCAGCUGAUGAUUGGCUCACAGUGGCCCCAGCAAACUUCCAGCUGUCAGCUGAUGAUUGGCUCACAGCGGCCCCAGCAAACUUCCAGCUGCCAGCUGAUUGGCUCCUCUUGGGUGAUGCUCAUUGGGCUGUUUCCCCCACCCUUUCAGACCAUGGAGCUGCUCAUUGGGGGACUCUUUUGGCUCCGCCCACACGACCCAGCCAAUCGGCCUCAAGAGCAGGAGGAGGGGGGUGGUUGAGAGGCUUGUGGGAAGCCCGUGGUGGCAGUUGGGCUCUGAGGGAAUUCCUGAAGAGCUCCUGUGGUGCAGCAGUGUGUGUUCUAAAAAUAAAGUUCGUUUGUGCUUGAUAAGUGGCUCCUGAAUUGUGCCCAGCCACACUGUGGCAGUGUAUGUUUGGAAUACAAAUGCCCCACAUCUCAUUUCUCAACCAGGAGAGACUUUUUUGGAAAUACUGGACCAUGUCAUGUGUCUUUCAGGGUGCCUGAUGUUUGCUUUGCCCUUUAGCUUCUUGCAAGCCAUUCUCUAAGGGAACAUGUGACUGAUCUCCUGGAGCUGGGUCAUAAGAUGAUGAGAAUGUCCCCAUACACCUCCACUCAAAGUUAGUUUUAAGUGUGAAAUUCAAACUCAGGGCUGUCAGACCGGAGUUCUGUGCUACUUUUGCCUCACCCCUCAUCUAGCCUGUGUAUGUUGCUGUUGAAAAUGAAAUCUGUUUUCCACUAUCACUUCUUUUCUUCUCUUCUUCCACAGUUUGAAAUAAGAAUGUCAUCCAAAUUGACACUUAUGGGGGCUUUAAGAGGUUAUCAGGUGAAGUGGUGGUAGGACAAGGGUUUUGGGGCCAACUCCCUACUUUCAAAUCUCUACCUUCUGCUACAAUCCAGGCAGGUGACUUAAUUCUCAGGGAGAGUAUGUAGACUACAUUAUUAUUUGGGGAGAAUAAUGGUUUAUUCACAGCUUAUUCUGUAAAACACUGAACAUAACUAUUCUUUUUUAAAAAUAUAUAUAUAUUCUCUUUUUUUAAAAUUUUUUUUAGUUUUCAAUAUACCUUUAUUUUAUUUAUAUGUAGUGUUGAGAAUUGAACCCAGUGCCUCACACAUGCUAGGCAAGUGCUCUACCACUGAGCUAUAACCCCAGCCCUCUCUCUCUCUCUCUCUCUUUUUUAAAAAUAUUUUUAUUUGUUGAUGAACACAAUAUCUUUAUUUUAUUUAUUUGUGCUGAAGAUCAAACCUAGUGCCUCCCACAUGCCAGGCCAAGUGUUCUACCACUGAGCUAUAGCCAUAGCUCUUUUUCUCUAUUUUAUGGUAGUAAAAUAUACAUAACAUAAAAUGUAACAAUUUUCACCUUUUUAAAUGUACAAUUUCAAUGGCAUUAAGUGGUACCACAAUAUAUUCUAAUACCUUCCACCACUGAUGGACAUUAAGGUGGUUUCUAAUAUUACUACCUCCCCAUUUUCCUCUCUCUUGAGAUCCUGGCUACCAUUUCUUUCUUUCAUGCUAUGAAUUUGACAUUUUAGAUACCUCAUAUAAGUGGAAUUAUGCAAGUACUUAUCUUUCUGGGAGUGGCUUAGUAUAAUGUCUUCCAGGUUUAUCCACAUCACCACAUGUUGCAAAAUUUCCUUCUUUUUAAAAACUGAAUUCUAUUCUAUUGUAUGUAUAUAACACAUUUUGCUGUAUCCAUUCAUUUGUUCAUAGACUUUUAGGUUGUUUUCAUAUCUUGGCUCUUAUGAAUAAUAUUGUGAUAAACACAAGUGCUAAUGUCCAUUCAAACUUCUCAUUUCAAUUCUUUUAGAUAAAUGCCAAAAAAAAAAAAAAGAAAUUGUUGGGCCAUUUAGUAGUUUAUUUAGAUUUUUAAGGAAUCUCCAUACUUCUUUCCAUAUUGAAUGUAUCAAUUUACAUUCCAACCAACAGUGUAAGGGUUUCCUUUUCUCUAGAUCCUAAUGCUUGUUGUUGUUGUUUUUUUUUUUCAAUAGUAAUCAUCCUAAUAGGUAUGAGGUGAUAUCUCAUUGAGGUUUUGAUUAGUGACAUUGAACAUUUUUUCAUAUGCCUCUUGGUCAUUUCUAUGUCUUUGGAAAAAUGUUCAAGUUUCUAGCUCAUUUUAAAAACUGGGUUAUUAGUUUUUUUUCUUAGUGAGUUUCAGGAGUUCCUUAUAUAUUUAGAGAUUAAUUCCUUAUUGGAUCUCUGUCUCACAAAUAUUUUCUCCCAUCCCAUAGUUUGUCUUUCCUCUCUCUAUUGUUCCUCCAUGAUUGCUCUAUUGACAUUUCUCCUCUUUUCCUUUAAAAGUUUUACAGUUUCAGGUAUUAUAUUUAUGUCUUUAAAGUACUUUGAGUUGAUCAUUUUAUGUAUGGUUUUAAGAUAGGCAUAUAAUUUCAUUCUUUUGCAUGUGGAUGGCUAGUUCCAAUACCAUUUAAAAAACUAUUAUUUCCCUAUUAUAUAUUCUUGGAAACAUUGUCAAAGGUCAGUUUACUGUAGAUGCGUGGAUUUAUUUGAGUUAUUUUAUUCCAUUGGUCAAUUGUUGGUUUAUAUGCCAGUACCAUACCAUUUUGAUUAUUACAACUUUGUAAUGCAUUUUGAAAUCAGGAAGUGUAAUGUUUCUAGCUUUGUUGUUCUUUUUCAAGAUUGAUUUGGCUACUUGUGGUCUUUUUAGUGUCAAAUGAAUCUCAGAAUUGCUUUUCUGCUUUUGUAAAAAAUGCCAUUGGAAUUUUGAUAGGGAUUACAUCAAAUCUGUAGAUCACUUUGGAUGGUAUGAACAUUUUAAUGCAAUAAAAUCUUCCAAUCCAUGACCAUGGGUUGGUUUUCCCUUUAUUUGUGUCUUCCUUAAUUUCUUUCAUUAGUGUUUUUUUGGGUUUUUUUUUUUUUUUUGGAUUUUAGUAUACAAGUCUCUCUCAUUUCCUUAGUUUAGUCUUAAGUAUUAUUUUCUUUUUUUCGCUAUUGUAAAUAAGAUUGUUUUCUCAUAGUUUGUUGUUGAUAUAUAGAAAUAAAAUGAUUUUUAUAUAUUGAUUUUAUAUUUUAUAAUUUUACUGAAUUCAUUAGUUCUAACAGUUUUUAACUGAAUUCUUUAAUGUUUGCUAUAUAUAAGACCAUGCACUCUGCAAAUAGGACAGUUUUACUUUUUUCUUCUCAAUUUGGAUGUCUAUAAUUUCUUUUUCUUGCCUAAUUGCUCUGGGACUUCCAGUACUAUGGUGAGUAAAAAUAGUGAUAGUGGGAAUUCUUAGCUCAUUCUUGGUCUUAGAGGGAAAACUUUCAGUUUAUUACUAUUCAUAUUUGAUUAGCUGUUGAUUUUAUUUAUAUGACCUUUAUUAUUUUUAGGUAUUUUCAUCCUAUUCCUAAUUUGGUUGAAAAUUUUUAUUUUGAAUGAACACUCAGUUUUGUUAAAACUUCUUCUUUGUAUCUAUUGAGAUGGUCAUGUAAAUUUUAUCUUUUAUUCUUUGUCAUAAUGCAUCACUUUAAUUGAUUUGUACAUUUUAAACCAUCCUCGUAUCCUGGGAAUGAUGAUGGUCAUGAUGGAAGAUCUUCUAAAUGUGCUAUUGGACUUGUCUUGCUAGUACUUUGUUGAGAUUUUCACAUCUAUGUUCAUCAGAGAUUUUCACAUUUAUGUUCAUCAGAGAAAACUGACCUAUAGUUUUCUAUAGGUCUAUCUUUUUUAAAAUAACAAUACUUAGUUUUGUUGAUUUUUUAAAUAUAUUUUCAUAUUUUUAACUCCAUUUAUUUUUGCUUUAAAUUUUGUAAUUUCUUACUUCUGUUAAUUUGGGGCAUAGUUAUACAUUUUCUAUUUUAAGUUAUAAAAUUAGGUUGUUUAUUUGAGAGCUUUCUCUUUAUAAAUGCAGAUGUUUAUCAUUAUGAAUUUCCUCUUAGUAUUGCUUGUAUUACUUUUUUCACUUUUCUUAUGUUAUUUUUAAUUUCCAGUGGUUCAUUAGUAUGUUGUGAAUUUGCACAUAUUUGUAAAUUUUCCAUCUUGCCUUCUACUGUUGAUUUCUAGUUUCUUUCCAUGUGGUCUGAAAGAUACUAGAUAUGAUUUAAUCUGUUAAGACUGAUAGACAAACCAACAAAUCUUUAGCAAGACUAAAAAAAGUGAAAAGAAUCCAAUAAGUAAAAUCAUAAAUGAAAGAGAUAACUGAUACUACAGAAAUUUUUAAAAAGCAUAAAAAAGGCUGGGGUUGUGGCUCAAGUGGUAGUGCGCUCGCCUGGCAUGCGUGAGGCACUGAUUUCGAUUCUCAGCACCACGUAAAAAUAAAAUAAAGAUAUUGUGUCCACCUAAAACUAAAAAAUAAAUAUUAAAAAAGCAUAACUAACUACUACUAAAAAUUAUACAAAAAAUGGAUAAUAUGGAAAAUGUUGAUAAAUUUUAGAAACAUAAAACCUUACCACAACUAAAUCAUUAUGAAACAGAAAGUCUGAACAGACAUGACUAUUAUGGAGAUUGAAUCAGUAAUCAAAAAUUCCCAACAAAGAAAAGCCCAUAACUAAAUGGCUUCUUUGGUGAAUUUUACCAAACAUGUAAAGAAAUAGUAACACCAUUAUUUUCAAAAUCUUCUGAAAUUUUUAAGAGAAGAGAGGCUUACAAAUUCUUUUUGGAGAUUAGUGUUAUCCUAAUGCCAAAGACAACACAAGAAUAGAAAACUAUAGGUCAGUUUUCUCUGGUAAACAUAGAUAUGAAAAUCUCAACAAAGUACUAGCAAGACAUUUAAAAGAUCUUCUAUCAUGACCAUCAUCAUUCCCAGGAUACGAGGAUGGUUUAAAAUAUACAAAUCAAUUAAAGUGAUGCAUUAUGACAAAGAAUAAAGGAUAAAAAUUACAUGACUAUCUCAAUAGAUGCAAAGAAGAAGGAAUAACAAAGUUGAGUAUUCAUUCAAAAUAUAGAUUUUCAAAUUGCUGUUCUGUCUAACAGCUUAAGCUGUCAUCUCUGUUCUUUCCAGGUGGCUAAACUAUGCUGGAAUUGUCAGAACUCCAACAACAGUGAAACAGAAGACAGUCUUCAGAAAAUUUUGGGCACUAGAUAUAUGAACCAACACCUUCCCUCCUCUGGGAAAAAUUGGAGUUAAGAAAUAUCUUCCUAAUAUUAUGGUGCUGUACUAGGGGGAUGGAUUUUGGUGAGAGCAUGUCCCAUAUCUCUGACCAGCUUUGGUGAAUAAGAUUUAACUGGGGUGCAGGAGCCUUUCAAUUGUUUAAAAGUUUCUGAAUUUCUUAGUAAAGGAAUUUGUCUACAAAUUAUUGCAAAUUAUUAUAGGUGUGUUUGGGUGGUUGGCUUCCGGCUUUUCAAUUUUGCUGAUGUUAGAGCAUAAUCCAUUAUUUUUUUCCCCAUAUUUCUAUUGGUGCAUUAGAUCUGUACAUACUGGUAUAAUUUAUUGCUACAUAUUCACACAUACUAAAUGAGUAUAAUUUGAUUAAUAUCAUUCCUUAGAAUUUCCCAUUUCCUCCUGUCCUUCCAUCUCUGGUCCCUUUCCUCUAUACUACUCAUCUCCUUUUGAUUUUCAUGAAAUCCUCCCACACCUUCUUUUCCUUUUUCUUCUCUGGAUUCCACUAAUGAGAGAAAACACAUUACCCUUAACCUUCUGAGUUUGGCUUAUUGCACCCAACCGUGUUCUCAAGUUCCAUCCAUUCCUGCAAAUGACAUAAUUUCAUUUUUCCUUAUGGCUGAAUAAAACUCUAUUUGGUAUAAAUACCAUAUUUCUUUAUCCAUUCAUGUGUAGAUGGACACCAAGGCUGGUUCCAUAGUUUGGCUAUUGUGAAUUGUGCUAUUAUAAACAUGGGUAGAGCAUAAUACAUUCUUGACAAAAAAAAAAAAUUCAGUGCCUCUUACCAUCAUCACCUUUAGGGAGUUGAAUUAGCUUUUAGUAGUCAAGGUCAAUAAAGGAUUUUUUAAAGUGGCCGAGGUGGGAAGAAGAUGAUGAGGCAGAAAAUGUGCCUCUCCUCCACACCAACACAUCUUUUUCCUCUUCCUCUUGAGUUUUUUUCUUAAAUUGGAAGUUCUCCAUCAAGAGGUCUGUGCUUAUAAUAAAUGUCAUAGAGCAAAUUUGACAAGGAAGAAUACCUUUUUAAUUUACAUUUUGAAUUCAAAGAUCCAGUGAGAGAGCUGGCAUGGUUAUUUGGAGCUGCCUCCAUAUUCCUUUUUUUUUUUAAUAGCU